CAGCCGCCGCGGUAAUACGAAGGGUGCAAGCGUUAAUCGGAAUUACUGGGCGUAAAGCGUGCGUAGGCGGUGAGUUAAGUCUGCUGUGAAAUCCCCGGGCUCAACCUGGGAAUGGCAGUGGAUACUGGCUCGCUAGAGUGUGUCAGAGGAUGGUGGAAUUCCCGGUGUAGCGGUGAAAUGCGUAGAUAUCGGAAGGAACACCUGUGGCGAAAGCGGCUCACUGGACCAUUUCUGACGCUGAGGAGCGAAAGCGUGGGGAGCGAACAGGAUUAGAUACCCGUGUAGUCCCUGUCUCUUAUAC
RNAcentral lists this ribosomal RNA (301 nucleotides) under uncultured bacterium. RNAcentral's name for it is "partial 16S ribosomal RNA". It matches the Rfam family "Bacterial small subunit ribosomal RNA", at positions 509 to 807 of the family's 1533-position model. The record is from RNAcentral.